Cimex lectularius (bed bug) is the source of this 557-nucleotide long non-coding RNA. RefSeq lists it as uncharacterized. The record is from RefSeq and is a predicted model, not a curated record. The transcript is spliced from 3 exons. Lineage: Eukaryota; Metazoa; Arthropoda; Insecta; Hemiptera; Cimicidae.
AUGUAAUUCAAUUAUUUUAACUGUUUAAAUAAAACGAACAGGACAGAAAUCAACUGGGUUUGAUUUUAAGACGUUUGGAAAGGUCUCAGUAUUUCAAGUAAUAACCUGUUCUCAACAACCUUCUGAAAGGUUAUAUAUAAUUUUCAAUGUACUUCAUUAUGAUAUGCGUAUGAGAUCAUUUCCACCGCGCUAUGCAGUUGUUGAAUGACUGGCUCUGAAGCCAAAUUAUCCGUUCGGAACGAGGAGUUAAAUAUUAAGGAACUCGAUUAUGCAGGAGAAGCGCGUGGACGCGAGGAGGGCUCGAAUGAAAAUGGUUUCGAUGGGAAAUGAAUUAUGCAGCGGGAAGAAAGCGAGGCAGAACGAAGCCACGGGAGAAAAGCCAACCGCGGACUUCAAGCGACAAACUUAGAUGUCCCAUUUCAUGAGUUCACAUGAUCUUCACAAACUAAACCUGGCAAUCUGAAAAACAAAUUUCCCAUUUGGUAUUUCUUUUCUUCAUGUUAAUACGUUUUCUUCGCUUAUGUUUAACACAGACUUGCAUCUUUUUACGCAAAUAC